Molecule: ribosomal RNA, 253 nt
Filed under: uncultured bacterium
Lineage: Bacteria
Description: partial 16S ribosomal RNA
Rfam family: Bacterial small subunit ribosomal RNA
Source: RNAcentral
UACGGAGGGAGCUAGCGUUGUUCGGAAUUACUGGGCGUAAAGCGCACGUAGGUGGUUUGUUAAGCUAGCUGUGAAAUCCCCGGGCUCAACCUGGGCACUGCAUUUGUGACUGCACGGCUAGAGUGUGUCAGAGGAGGGUAGAAUUCCACGUGUAGCAGUGAAAUGCGUAGAUAUGUGGAGGAAUACCGAUGGCGAAGGCAGCCCCCUGGGAUAACACUGACGCUCAUGCACGAAAGCGUGGGGAGCGAACAGG